GGGUCAGUAGGUUGGUCGUGCCACCGGUACGUACUGGUCUCACUGAUUCCUCCUUCCUGAAGAACCGUAAUGCCAUUAAUUUGGUGUUGCGGGGAAACAGGACUGUUACUUUGAAAAAAUUAGAGUGUUUAAAGCAAGCUAACGCUUGAAUACAUUAGCAUGGAAUAAUGAAAUAGGACGAUCGAUCCCAUUUUGUUGGUUUCUAGGAUUGACGCA
This 216-nucleotide ribosomal RNA is filed under the name Glomeromycotina sp. Its description in RNAcentral is "partial small subunit ribosomal RNA". The stretch from base 44 to 216 matches the Rfam family "Eukaryotic small subunit ribosomal RNA", at positions 690 to 864 of the family's 1831-position model. The record is from RNAcentral. Lineage: Eukaryota; Fungi; Glomeromycota.